GACCAGAUAGCUCAGUUGGUAGAGCACCUGACUAAAGGUUCAGGUGGCCAGGGUUCGAGUCUUGGUCUGGUCC
Ostrea edulis (European flat oyster) is the source of this 73-nucleotide non-coding RNA. The record is from the annotation of a RefSeq genome assembly. NCBI's taxonomy places the organism in Eukaryota, Metazoa, Mollusca, Bivalvia, Ostreida, Ostreidae.